GAAGCCCUCAGUGUACAGAAAGCAAGCGACGUCAAGAUGUGAGGAGCGGCUAUGUGGCUCCUGCUCCGCCUCCUUGCUAAAGUUGUUUUCUGUGCUACUGGGCCAUUCGGCGGCGCGUGAUGAUUGGCAGAGCAGCUGUAACUCUCAUGAGGGGGCGAUACAUGAUUGGUUCCCUUCCAGCUUCCCUCGUGGCACCCUGGUAUGAAGAGUGAGCCGGGAAGUACAUCAGCUGCAUACAGGAUAACAUUGCGGACAUCUGGACAAAUGCGGCGCUAAUGCUGGAGAAGUU
This is a long non-coding RNA of Portunus trituberculatus (swimming crab), 289 nucleotides long. RefSeq lists it as uncharacterized. The record is from RefSeq and is a predicted model, not a curated record. The transcript is spliced from 4 exons. Lineage: Eukaryota; Metazoa; Arthropoda; Malacostraca; Decapoda; Portunidae.